Molecule: ribosomal RNA, 482 nt
Filed under: uncultured bacterium
Lineage: Bacteria
Description: partial 16S ribosomal RNA
Rfam family: Bacterial small subunit ribosomal RNA
Source: RNAcentral
AUUGAACGCUGGCGGCAUGCCUUACACAUGCAAGUCGAACGGUAACAGGUCUUCGGUUGCUGUCGAGUGGCGCACGGGUGCGUAAUACAUCGGAACGUGCCCAGACGUUGUGGGUAACGAGGCGAAAGCUUUGCUAAUACCUCAUACGAUCUAAUGAUUAAAGCCGGGGACCGCAAGGCCUUGUGCGUUUGUAGCGGCCGAUGGCAGAUUAGGUAGUUGGUGGGAUAAAAGCUUACCAAGCCGACGAUCUGUAGCUGGUCUGAGAGGACGACCAGCCACACUGGGACUGAGACAUGGCCCAGACUCCUACGGGAGGCAGCAGUGGGGAAUUUUGGACAAUGGGCGAAAGCCUGAUCCAGCAAUGCCGCGUGAAGGAUGAAGGCCUUCGGGUUGUAAAAUGCUUUUGUACGGAAAGAAAAGGCUCUGGCUAAUACCUGGGGAACAUGACGGUACCGUAAGAAUAAGCACCGGCUAACUACGUG